AGGAAGGGUAGACAAUACUCAGGCGCUGAGACUGAGGGCUGCAGGCUUCUUAAAGUCCCUUAAUUGGAGAUGAGGAGCAGGUGUGUCGUCUCACUCAGCCUCAGCGCCGGGGGAGGGGAGGAAGCUCUGGAAAAGAGUACAGCCAGACCAGGCAAACAGGGAAAAACAGGAAGUCCAGCCAAAAUAAAACAGGAUGAGGAGGCGUCUCACCACAGUACCCCCCCCCCUUAACGAACGCCUCUUGGCGUUCUGCCGGGCUUGUUGGGGUGGGCAGCGUAGAACUCUUCCAGGAGUUGGCGGUCCAGGAUGAGGGAGCGGGAGAUCCAGGAACGUUCCUCUGGACCGUAACCCUCCCAGUCCACGAGGUAUUGGAAGCCUCGCCCCCGAGGCCACACGUCCAGGAUUUUCCUUACAGUGAAGGCAGGGUGGUCAUCAAUCAAUCGGGGGGGUGGAGGGGCGACGGAAGGAGGGCUCAGGGUGCACGAGGCAACAGGUUUUAACAAGGAGACAUGGAAUGUGGGAUGAAUUUUGAGAGAUGAGGGAAGUUUUAAUCUCACCGCUGAAGGGUUGAUGAUUUUCUGGAUAGGGAAGGGACCAAUGAAGCGGGGGGACAGCUUGCGGGACUCGGUCUGCAGGGGAAGGUCACGAGACGAUAACCAGACCAUCUGACCAGGACGAUAGUCUGGUGCUGGAGAGCGGUGAACGUCAGCCAGGCGUUUGUUGCGCUCGGCCGUGCGGGUGAGUGCGGCCCUGGCCGAUCUCCACACCUCCCGUUGACGCCCAAUGUGCUCCCUCACCGACGGGACGGCCACAGGUUGCUCCUGUUCGGGAAACAGGGGGGGCUGGUACCCAAAACAGCACAUGAAAGGGGACAUACCUGUGGCUGAAGAGGUGAGGGAGUUAUGGGCGUAUUGGAUCCACGGGAGGUGCGUACUCCAGGACGCUGGAUGAUGGGCCGCCACACACCGCAGGGCCGACUCGAGGUUCUGAUUAGCCCGCUCCGUCUGGCCAUUGGUCUGUGGGUGGUAACCCGAGGAGAGGCUAGCUGCUGCGCCCACUGCCUGGCAGAAAGCUUUCCAGACCUGAGAGGAAAACUGAGGACCACGAUCUGAUAAGAUGUCACGGGGAAUCCCAUGUAAUUGAAAUACAUGAGUGACUAGGAGGUUAGCAGUUUGAAAGGCAGAUGGGAGCUUGGGUAAAGGGACAUAGUGAACAAAUUUGGAGAAUCUGUCAAUGAUGGUGAGUAUGACUGUGUUACCUUCAGAGGGAGGGAGACCAGUGACGAAAUCUAAGGCUAUGUGGGACCAGGGGCGUGAAGGCACAGGCAGAGGACGCAGCAAGCCAGCCGGAGGUUGGUGGGAGGCUUUGCUUCGGGCACAGACGGAGCAGGCAGCAACAAACGCCCGUACGUCCCGGACCAUCCCCGGCCACCAGAACCGCUGCUGGAGGAAUUGGAGGGUGCGUUGAAACCCGGGGUGGCAGGUGAGCUUGGAGGAGUGCCCCCACUGUAGGACCUGAGAACGUGCGACCUCAGGGACGAACCUUCUGUCCGGCGGGCCGGUUCCAGGGUCUGGGUGGUUCCGGAGGGCCUGGUCCACGAUGGUAUCGAUCUCCCAGGUGGCGGAUCCAACGACACAGGAGGCGGGGAGGAUGGUGUCUGGUUCACUGGGGUCCGGGGUAUCCGAGGCGUGGAUCCGAGAGAGGGUGUCUGGUUUGAGGUUGCGGGAGCCGGGACGAUAGGAGAGGGUGAAAUUGAAUCUGCUGAGGAAAAGGGACCAGCGGGCUUGCCUGGGGUUGAGGCGACGAGCGGAGCGGAGGUAUUGCAGGUUCUUGUGGUCUGUCCAGAUUAGAAACGGUUGGGGUGCUCCUUCCAGCCAGUGUCUCCAUUCUUGCAGUGCCCACACGACAGCCAGUAAUUCACGGUUUCCCACGUCAUAAUUUUGUUCCGUGGCUGAGAGUUUCCGGGAGAAAAAGGCGCAAGGAUGAAGCUUCUGGGUCUGAGAGUCCCUCUGUGAGAGGACGGCCCCUACUCCAGAGUCCGAAGCGUCGACCUCCACCACGAACUGAAGCGAGGGAUCUGGGUGUUUGAGCACCAGGGCGGAGAUGAAGAGGGAUUUGAGAUGAUGGAAGGUGGCGUCUGCUUCGGGGGUCCAGGAGAAUGGAACCUUGAGGGAUGUGAGCCGGGUGAGGGGAACUGCCACCUUACUGUAGUUCUUAAUGAACCGUCGAUAGAAAUUAGCGAAGCCGAGGAAUCGCUGGUGGUCUUUGCAGGAGGAGGGAGUGGGCCAGUCACGGACAGCACAGACUUUUUCUGGGUCUGGGCGUAGCUCCCCCUGGGCGAUGAUGUAGCCAAGGAAACUGACGGAGGAGGCGUGGAACUCGCACUUUUCGGGCUUCACGAAAAGGCGGUUUUCGAGGAGGCGCUGAAGGACGAGUCGGACGUGCUGCUGGUGUUCCUCCAGGUUUCGGGAGAAGAUCAGGAUAUCGUCCAAGUAGACAAAGGCGAACUUGGUAAUCAUGUCACGGAGGACAUCAUUAAUGAGGGUCUGGAACACAGCAGGGGCAUUGGUGAGGCCAAAGGGCAUAACCAGGUAUUCAAAGUGGCCCAUGGGUGUGUUAAAGGCAGUCUUCCACUCAUCCCCCUCCCGGAUGCGAACCAGGUGAUAGGCAUUCCGGAGGUCCAGUUUUGAGAAGAUGGUGGCUUGACAGAGAGGUUCGAAGGAGGGAUCAAUGAGUGGCAGGGGAUAUUUGUUUUUAAUGGUGAUGUCAUUUAAUCCACGGAAGUCAAUGCAGGGACGGAGAGAGGAAUCUUUUUUCUUCACGAAGAAGAAGCCAGCAGCAAGGGGAGAAGAUGAGGGUCGGAUGAGUCCAGAGGUCAGGGAGUCUUGAAUGUAUUCCUCCAUGGCCUCUCGUUCGGGCCGAGAGAGGUUGUAUAGUCUACUACUGGGAAGAGGUGCGCCAGGGAGCAGGUCUAUGGCGCAGUCAUAGGGGCGAUGAGGAGGAAGGACAAGAGACUGCUCCUUACUGAACACCAUUGCCAGGUCAUGGUAAACGGGGGGAACCGAGGUGAGAGAUGGCGGUGGAGAUGCUGACCUCUGUCGGUGGAUGUAGGGAUUGGCGGAGCGGAGGCAGUGGGAGUGACAGUGAGGGCUCCAGGCGGAGAUUGAAGAUGUGGACCAGUUAAUCUGAGGGUUGUGGAUUUGCAGCCAAGGGAGUCCCAGUACCAGGGGAGAGUGAGGAGAGGGAAGCAGGAACAGCCGGAUGUCCUCCCGAUGGUUACCGGAGAGGAUGAGGGUGAGGGGAGCAGUGCGGUGUGUAAUGGAGGCUAUUACUCUGCCAUCGAGAGCGGUGACCUUACGGGGAACCGGGAGUUCCUCCAGGGGGAGCUGAAGCCGCGCUGCCAGUCCGGUGUGAAUGAAGUUAUCGUCCGCCCCAGAGUCAAUGAGGGUUUGGAGGGAAGUGGAUUCCUUUCCCCAAAGGAGACAGUCAGGGACUGUGAUACGCCUGGGGGAGCUGGAGGUAGAGGAGGUGUGGCUGAUUUGCAUGGGUUCUCCAGUGGAGGGCGUCGGAGCCAGAGGAGCUGAGGGCUGCAGAGGAGACCUGCUGACUGCAACAGAGGAAGGGGAGUCUAUUCUAGGGACCAGGGAAUGGAUUUCCUUCUCCCUCCGUCUCUCCCUGAGGCGAUUAUCUAUACGAAUAGCUAACGCUAUUAGCUCCUCAAGGGAGGAAGGCUCAUCUCGAGCCGCUAGCUCGUCUUUCAAUUGUUCUGAGAGACCCCGAGUGAAUGCCUCUUUUAACUCGAGUUCCCCCCACCCACUCUCGGCCGCCACUGUACGGAACUCAAUGGAGUAAUCCGCCACUGACCGAGAGCUCUGGGUGAGGGAAAACAACCGUUUGGUGCACUCAGGGCCCUCGACUGGAAAAUCAAAUAUUCUACGGAGCUCUUCUGAAAAACGGGCGUAAGAGGCGAACAGAGGUGAGUCCCUAUCCCAGACGGCCGUAGCCCACUUAGCGGCCCUACCUCUUCACAAAUUGAUGGUGUAGGCGAUCUUAGCUCGAUCUGAGGGGUAACUAAUGGGCUGUUGGUCAAACACUAAGGCGCAUCGGAGUAGGAAACCUCUGCAGCCCCCAAUCUCCCCAGCAUACGGCUCAGGAGGAGGGACAUAGGGCUCUUUGAGGAUAGUGGGUGGUGGAGGAGGCGAAGAGGGGAACGUACUCACGGAGGGGGGAGAUCCUGUUUGCUGCGGUGGAGGCCGAGGGAGUAGUUGCUCAGCCAGCUGUGACAUUUGAACGGAGAGGCCAUGAAACGACUGGUGGAGACUCUGGAGCAUAUCCUCAUGUUGGCCAAGCCGCGUGCCGAGCUUCUGGACGGCUAGCUGAACUCUGUCUAGGUCUGCUGGGUCCAUUUUCCUGGCCUGAGUAUUCUGUUGUGUGGCAGGUUUGUAGUGAGGACCCAGAUGCAGACACCGAGACUGAGAUCAACUUAAAGUGAAUUUUAAUUUCCAAACUCAGGAUUGAAAAGCAAACGAGGAAGUCCGGUAGGCUGGUACACGGGAAGCUGGCUGUCGUGGGGGCUGGAGACACGCUAGGAAGGGUAGACAAUACUCAGGCGCUGAGACUGAGGGCUGCAGGCUUCUUAAAGUCCCUUAAUUGGAGAUGAGGAGCAGGUGUGUCGUCUCACUCAGCCUCAGCGCCGGGGGAGGGGAGGAAGCUCUGGAAAAGAGUACAGCCAGACCAGGCAAACAGGGAAAAACAGGAAGUCCAGCCAAAAUAAAACAGGAUGAGGAGGCGUCUCACCACACUCCCUUUGAUUUGUUCUUGCAAUUGCGGGCUAUAUGAUCCUCCUUUCCACAUGCCCAGCAACCUGUCCCUCUUUGAUUUGCUCCUCCUGGUCUGGGCCUAUCUUGUCCUCUACCUCUGAACCCUCUUCUGCUUGCUUUUGGUUCUUUUUUCCAUUCAUCAACCAUUUGACUCCCUUAUUUUUGUGGUUUCUUUAUAUCACCCUUUGAUCUUAUACUUAUGGAGUCUUGUAGUUUAUUUAAUUGGCUUGUUCUUAGGCUGCCGUCAAAUCCAAAUUUAGUCACCCAUAAUUCGAGAAAAUUGUAACUUUUCUGGCUUUUUCUCAAAGAUUCUCCAAUCUUGACAUCUUAAUUUGUCCAAAUUAGCCUUACUGGCUUCCGUCCCCAUUUUAUGUGUUUUGGUCCAGCUUAGGUGACACCUAGGGUGUCCAAUUAAGCUGGGUUCUUUCAAUGGGGUAGUGAUAAAAAUUCCUUACGUGGUAAUUCUCGCUUCUACUCUUACGAGUGGAGAAUUCUUGCCUUUGCUUCCACAAUAAGGUCACUACUUACAAUCCCACUGUUUUGGUAUGAAUAGGAUAUAUCUAGUGAUAUAUCUCUAUUCCAAUCACUCUCACAGUUUCACAAUCACACUUUUAACACGUGUUUUGUUCUGCAGAAUUUUCUCAAUUAGGCCUUUGUCCACGGUACAACACCGGACCCGCGCGUCUUCUUUCAACGGAUUUGUAGGACCCGCACGUCCUUUAAUUUAAACUUUUCCAAUUAGGAAUCUACCGUUUUAUAUUUUUUCUUCAGCGGAUUUGUAGGACCCGUUUGUCCUUAUUCAGCAGAUUUGUAGGACCCGUUCGUCCUUUUCAACGGAUUUGUAGGACCUGCCUGUCCUUUUUUUUUUGUUGUUUGGUCUUUUAUAGAUUCUCUACACGGAGCGAAUCUCAAUCAUUCCACGUUCCUUUUUAUAAAAGACCAACUCACCACUUGUCUUUCCCCUUGGCUUCGGAUUUCCGUCAACCGUCGGAUCCCAGCAGGCGGAUCGAGUCCAGUUCCUCAAAGAGAGGCUGCCGUGGCCACGGUCUUAUCUGUCAUCCACCUCACCUGCUGGAAUCGUCAGGUCUAUUGGAAUCCGGCUCGAAGGACCAAAGAAAUGUUGGGUCUAAAACCUGCCCAAAUACCUGAAAACACAAAAAAGGAGAAAGACAAUGGAAUAUACUCGAGGAGAAUGGACAGAGAUCUUUUUUUUAGCUAUCUCAAUACCACUCUAAGGGUACUUUCUCUG
This is a non-coding RNA of Xyrichtys novacula (pearly razorfish), 6069 nucleotides long. The record is from the annotation of a GenBank genome assembly. Lineage: Eukaryota; Metazoa; Chordata; Actinopteri; Labriformes; Labridae.